Musa acuminata AAA Group (dessert banana) is the source of this 1900-nucleotide long non-coding RNA. RefSeq lists it as uncharacterized. The transcript is spliced from 5 exons. The record is from RefSeq and is a predicted model, not a curated record. Lineage: Eukaryota; Viridiplantae; Streptophyta; Magnoliopsida; Zingiberales; Musaceae.
AACCAAAAAUCUCUCACUACCAUCUGCCAUCACAAUUUCAUUUGGCAGACGAUCCUAAUGCCAGAAGAAAAAGUCUCAUAUCUGCAAGUAAGUCCCUGUGACUAUCCUGUCAUACAUAAGGAAACACCAGAAACCUAAACGGUCGGACACAUCAUCGUCGGUGCUAGCAAAAAAAAGUAAAGAAAAAAGGGGAAGCUUCAUAUUCUUUCCAGCAUCAUGAUAUUUAAGCGUUGAAUUCUCCACGGCACCCAUCGUAGUCUGGUGCUUGAUCACACUUACUUUGAAGGGCUUAUCUUGAGACACUCACUGCAGCAAAUGGUAAAACUGUUGGCAUCAUCAGAAGGCAAGUACACAAAGAUCCUCCUCGACUGACUCGGAAGCGCGAAAACCGCACCUCUCUCGCUGGUUUCUGUGCGGAGGGGCAAUCCCUACGCCGGGAAGAGGAGAUCGGACAAGGAGAGCCAGCUCUCCAUGGCCGAAAAGUAUAAGCACCGGAGGGAAGGAAGAACGGGCAGCGUGGCCAACUUGUCAAAAGCCCAGCUUGCAAUCAACCACAACAAUCCACUGGCUCCCAACUCCACAACCUUGAAGUGCAGCGUGACAGCUUGGGAUAAGAACAAAACCAAUGCCAUGGUAGCUCGAGAACACCAUCAUGCAUGCCACCAUCAGAUGACGACUACAUGUCAUGCAAACAAACCAUCAUCAUCACCCAUCCAUCCUUCCAAUUUUUCACACAGUGGCCGUGAGAGCUUCGGGGGGGAUGCAAAUUUGUCUCGUGUUGAUGACCGGCAACAGGCAGACCACGCAACAUCUAAUCAUUAAGUCUCUAUUUCUUUGUCUCUUUGGUGCAGUGACCACGGCGGGGUCCGGUGGACACUUGGUAGGUCUCCUCUCAAAUCCUGCAUGGUGAUAAGACUGGAGUCGGCAGGCAUAUUGCAUUUCUAUCCGCAUCGUCCGUUUGUUCUGUGGCCUUCCCUUCUCUCUGCAAGUAUGACCUACAAUUUUUUAUCCUUUUAAUGCAUGCAUAUUGAGAAGAAAGAUCAUCACCAGCUUGUCCACUUGUGAGUCUCGAUGUGCAUCACUCCUUACUAUUCUAUCUCCCCGAUCGAUACAUCAACAAUCAUCAAGCAUAAGAAAAUGACGCAUCACCAUCAGCUCCACUUGUAAGUUUGUAACCUUCUUUUCUCUAUGCCCAGACUCAGGAACUGGAAGAAGAUGCAGGAAACUUCUAAUCGGUGCUGUGAGCUUGAAUCUUCUGCUGCACAGAUUUAAGUAAGUCCACUUUGUUUUUUUUUUUUUUUAAGUUGAGAAUAAAUAAAAUUCGGGUUUUUAAUUAUGCUUAAAAUUGGUUAAUCAAAUGGAAGGAUAUUUAUUAUUAUUAUUAUUAUUAUAGUAAGGGAUAAAUUGAGACGAUGGUCAUAGAUUGAAGAUAUUUCAAAUCAGAGUGUGGGUGCUACUUGAUCAAAGAAGAAGAAGAAGACAUCCAUCUCAUGAGACUUACAGAAAAUAACAGCUUAAUCCGAGCGGCUGGGGAAGGGAACAUGAACGUGCAACCGAGCACUGACUUCACUAUUUUGACAAGCUAAUUUCAUCAGCGUCGAGAGAGGGACACUUGGACAUUAUUUGCAUCAGGAAUGAUGUGAUGAUAAGGAUGGAUGAGCAACGGGACGCUAUCGAAGCUAUGCAAAACUCACUAUCAAGUUGAAUUUGAGAGGGAAGAAAAUAUCAUCAACUCCGUGGCAGGAACUAAUGCUUAUGGAUUGCAUUGAGCCACCACCUCAUAUGGGUUCUAUCUCGAUCAUGUGAAAAUAACAUUUUGAUUUGAUGCAUUGAGCUACAACAAUGCAUCCACCACAUCUCAUCUUUUCACAACAUGGGCUCUACUGCUUCAUAACCCAAC